AGUACUUUUUUUUUUUUUUUUUUUUUUUUUUUUUUUUUUUUUUUUUUUUUACAUUCACCAUCUCUG
RNAcentral lists this non-coding RNA (66 nucleotides) under Alexandrium minutum. The record is from RNAcentral. Lineage: Eukaryota; Dinophyceae; Gonyaulacales; Pyrocystaceae.